CCUUCGGGUUGUAAAGCACUUUCAGUCAGGAGGAAAGGGUGUGAGUUAAUACCUCAUAUCUGUGACGUUACUGACAGAAGAAGCACCGGCUAACUCCGUGCCAGCAGCCGCGGUAAUACGGAGGGUGCGAGCGUUAAUCGGAAUUACUGGGCGUAAAGCGUACGCAGGCGGUUUGUUAAGCGAGAUGUGAAAGCCCCGGGCUCAACCUGGGAACUGCAUUUCGAACUGGCAAACUAGAGUGUGAUAGAGGGUGGUAGAAUUUCAGGUGUAGCGGUGAAAUGCGUAGAGAUCUGAAGGAAUACCGAUGGCGAAGGCAGCCACCUGGGUCAACACUGACGCUCAUGUACGAAAGCGUGGGG
RNAcentral lists this ribosomal RNA (359 nucleotides) under Pseudoalteromonas sp. OB0. RNAcentral describes it as "bacterial SSU rRNA". It matches the Rfam family "Bacterial small subunit ribosomal RNA", at positions 415 to 766 of the family's 1533-position model. The record is from RNAcentral. Lineage: Bacteria; Pseudomonadati; Pseudomonadota; Gammaproteobacteria; Alteromonadales; Pseudoalteromonadaceae.